AUUCACUCAUCUGAUUUUUUAAGACCAUUCAAAGUGUUCUCUCAAUCUUCAACCUCAAGAACACCAAGGAAAACUUGGAGGCUAAGUCUUGGUCUAGGAAGUAUUUUCCCUAAGUUGGUUAGGGUUUUUUUGAAAGGUUUUGGAGGAGCCAAAGCUAAUAGGAAGGUCCAAACCUUAAGCAAGAACACCAAAGAGGUAAGAACAAGGGCAAGGCAGAGCAGUGAGCGCUGGAGUCUUCCUUGCAAAUGUACAUGUGGACCGACCUUUUGGGAAGCCUUUUUAUUUUUGGAAAUGUUGUGUAAUUUUCCUAAACUAGGCUCACUCUAAUCUUUAUAAAACAUGUCUGUAACUAAAUGUUAAGUAUGGCC
Humulus lupulus (European hop) is the source of this 368-nucleotide long non-coding RNA. RefSeq lists it as uncharacterized. Lineage: Eukaryota; Viridiplantae; Streptophyta; Magnoliopsida; Rosales; Cannabaceae. The record is from RefSeq and is a predicted model, not a curated record. The transcript has 3 exons.